Heterocephalus glaber (naked mole-rat) is the source of this 2840-nucleotide long non-coding RNA. RefSeq lists it as uncharacterized. The record is from RefSeq and is a predicted model, not a curated record. NCBI's taxonomy places the organism in Eukaryota, Metazoa, Chordata, Mammalia, Rodentia, Bathyergidae.
CUUAAUAGAAAACUGGCCUAAAUAAACAGAAAUCAACAGAAAAAUAUAACUCACAAUUACACGUGGGGAGAAAAUUCAAUAAAACUCAGACCUUGCCAACAAUGACAAGAAGCAGAAUGCCACCAGCUGUGAGGACCGUAGAUCAUACUAGCCAGAGGACACAUCCAUGGGUACAUUUCUGGAAGCAAAGUGCGGAAUACUGGGCAAGCAUCCUGAAACCAUCAGAGGUUGAACCAGCAACACCCUAAGAAAUGACUCGGUGUGAGGUCCAAGAGGCUGCUCACAUUCGCAGGAAUAAUGAAGAAUCAGAAGCAACCUACAUUUCCACUAAAGAGUUCAAUUUUAGUGCAUCUCUGCAGGGUAGUAAUGUAUAGGCACUGAAGAUUGUAUUUUCAAAUAUUUAAUGAUGGAUACUCUCUCAAUAACAUGUUCCAUGACAAACACGGGAUGCAAACUGGCCCUCUCUGCCCUGCACACCAGCUGUGAGAGAGUAGGGGUAAGUGGAGGAGGAGGAGAGGAAAAUAUACAAAUAUGUUUGGGAUACUAGCUGUGGGUAGGGAGGUCAAGGUCUUUUCAAAUGUUUUCUCUAUACUUUUUAGCAGUUUCAACUUUCACACAGACCAUGUUACGAUUGAGAAAAGAGAGAAGUCCCGCAUAUCCUGAGUCUGUGAGGUCAUAGCAGAUGGGCUGUGGUCACAAGGACCUGCCCCUCACUCUGUAGACCGCAACCUGUGGCCUCAUAGCCAGGUCACAUAUCAGCACUGUGGCUGGCUCCAAUGGGACUUAGAGGGCACACAAAGGGACCCAAUUCCACAGGUGAACAAAUAAGAGGUGCCUCUCCCAGGCAGGAAAUAUCCUGAAGGUACAGCAUGGAGAAAACAGAGAACACAAGAGUUUCAAAGAGCCAGAAGACCUGGUGGCAGGCCUGGGGAUGCUGAGACAAUACAAGCGUGCAGGAAGCCACAGGCACAGCUCACACUGAAGGAAGGUGGGGGGUUGCUCCACUGCCCAAGAAAAGAGAUCCACAUGGACUAUUUGGGACUUUCAGCAGAAGAGGUGGCCCAAAACUAGCAACAGGAAAGAAAUAAAAAAGAGGAGAGCAGAAAUAAGCAAAGUGGAGAACAGAAAAACUGGAGAGAAAAUUGGCCCAGCCAAAAGUUGGUUUGCUGAAAAGAGUGAUAACAUUGCUAAGAUCUUUGAGCUAGAAUGACUAGACAAAGAACAAACAGAAUUGAAUCACUGAAAUCAAGAAUGAAAGAGAAGAGACUAUUGUGGACCUUACAGAAGAAAGGAUUGCUAUGAACAGCUACAAAUCAACACUAGAUAGCCAAGGUGACAUGAACAAAUUCCUAAAAACAUACAAACUCCCACAACUGACUCAAGAAAAAUAGGAAGUUGGACAGACCUCGGCAGCAGGCACAGAGAUGGAACAAAUAAGGAGCUACUUACCAGCACCUCUGAGGAUGUUCUGGCCCCACCUCCUGGCUGUCCUAGAGUUUCCACUCUGCGAACAGCAGACUUUCUCAUCCUAUAGCCCUGGUGCUUUGCUCCCUUCUCUUCAGUGCAGUGGUGGCGAACUUUCAGCACACACGCCAGGCUGCUUAUCACUGAAAGCUCUAAAAGGUCCACGUCCUCUGUUCAGGCUCCAAGCUCACUGGUCAUUCCUCUGUUCCUUCCAUUUCACUACUGACCUCACCCACUAAAUCUCAUUUCAGCUCUGGACCGAAAUCUCCCAUCACACAGACUAUUGCUCCCCCAGCCACUAGUAGGUAGGGAGACGGCACAGUGGGGCUUUCUCUGUCUGUGCCCUGACAUUUGCGGUUGCACGUCCUCAGCUGCAGGUCUGGUCUGUGAGAAGGGAGUUCACUAUGCAUUCUGCAGGGUCCUCAGAUGCCACCCGCCAGGGGUCUUUCAUGUUUGCUUUAUAUAUAGUGUUGUAGUUGAGAGAAGGAACAAGGGGAAGACUGUCUACGUCCCCUUCCCUGCAAACAGAGAAGCUUUUCAGUAAAUAGUGUCUGCUGGGUAUACAGGUGUGCUGGGUACAGUCCAAACCCCUGCACUGAGACCUGGCCAUCUGAAGGGCUCCCUGUGGCCAGGGAAGAAGCCAGCACCUUCAGGUUCCCAUAUGCAACAGCACCACAGAAUCAGCCCUUUGUUCUGGCUAACCUCUGAGGACCAAUCCCUGAACCCCCUUCUCAGAUCACUUACUUAGAAAAAAGCUCGCCAUGUGCAUCCUUCCUCUAUCCCUUUGAGAUGGAAAUAUCUGUAGCUUCAGGUGUCCUACAGCUAGGAGGAUUCCUUUGAAAAGCCAUCAUCAGGAGGGACAGGGCCCUGCCAACCUAGUCUCACGUACACUGACCUCUUCCCUGCUUUUGUAAUUUUCCUGCCUCCAAUUGGGCACCGGCUCCCUUGUUCUCUUGUAAGAGGGCCAGGCACCCCUGCACAAAUCCACAUGGAGCUCAGCUCUUUCCCUACAGUCAGGAGUACCUGAAUAAAACCUGCUUUCACCACUGGAACUAACAUCCGGCUAUGUAUCGUCUGACAUGCUUCACAAGUGACACAACAUAUGCUGAAUUAACCUAGCUAUGGAGCACUUUGAAGGCACAGAAUAGAGAUAGGCCACUAGAUGCUCUCAACCUGCAGUGAGCAGAGGACUCUAGCACGUCAGGGUUACAAUAAGUUGCAAAAGUGCCGACCACUACUAUGGUGGCCCUCAGUGGGACAGGGCACUGAACUCAAAUCCACUCCAGUACCUGUUUGCCCUGCUCCCAUGAUGUACCCAGCUCUGUUCCAAGGAGGCAGACCUAAGCUGCAGGCCCCCCAGAAAAGGGCAGGGAGAG